RNAcentral lists this ribosomal RNA (651 nucleotides) under uncultured bacterium. RNAcentral describes it as "bacterial SSU rRNA". It matches the Rfam family "Bacterial small subunit ribosomal RNA", at positions 202 to 842 of the family's 1533-position model. The record is from RNAcentral.
AGAUGGCUUUGGCUAUCACUCUGGGAUGGACCUGCGGUGCAUUAGCUAGUUGGUAAGGUAACGGCUUACCAAGGCGAUGAUGCAUAGCCGAGUUGAGAGACUGAUCGGCCACAAUGGAACUGAGACACGGUCCAUACUCCUACGGGAGGCAGCAGUAGGGAAUCUUCCACAAUGGGCGCAAGCCUGAUGGAGCAACACCGCGUGAGUGAAGAAGGGUUUCGGCUCGUAAAGCUCUGUUGUUGGAGAAGAACGUGCGUGAGAGUAACUGUUCACGCAGUGACGGUAUCCAACCAGAAAGUCACGGCUAACUACGUGCCAGCAGCCGCGGUAAUACGUAGGUGGCAAGCGUUAUCCGGAUUUAUUGGGCGUAAAGCGAGCGCAGGCGGUUGCUUAGGUCUGAUGUGAGAGCCUUCGGCUUAACCGAAGAAGUGCAUCGGAAACCGGGCGACUUGAGUGCAGAAGAGGACAGUGGAACUCCAUGUGUAGCGGUGGAAUGCGUAGAUAUAUGGAAGAACACCAGUGGCGAAGGCGGCUGUCUGGUCUGCAACUGACGCUGAGGCUCGAAAGCAUGGGUAGCGAACAGGAUUAGAUACCCUGGUAGUCCAUGCCGUAAACGAUGAGUGCUAGGUGUUGGAGGGUUUCCGCCCUUCA